GAUGAACGCUGGCGGCGUGCCUAAUACAUGCAAGUCGAGCGAACGGACGAGAAGCUUGCUUCUCUGAUGUUAGCGGCGGACGGGUGAGUAACACGUGGAUAACCUACCUAUAAGACUGGGAUAACUUCGGGAAACCGGAGCUAAUACCGGAUAAUAUUUUGAACCGCAUGGUUCAAAAGUGAAAGACGGUCUUGCUGUCACUUAUAGAUGGAUCCGCGCUGCAUUAGCUAGUUGGUAAGGUAACGGCUUACCAAGGCAACGAUGCAUAGCCGACCUGAGAGGGUGAUCGGCCACACUGGAACUGAGACACGGUCCAGACUCCUACGGGAGGCAGCAGUAGGGAAUCUUCCGCAAUGGGCGAAAGCCUGACGGAGCAACGCCGCGUGAGUGAUGAAGGUCUUCGGAUCGUAAAACUCUGUUAUUAGGGAAGAACAUAUGUGUAAGUAACUGUGCACAUCUUGACGGUACCUAAUCAGAAAGCCACGGCUAACUACGUGCCAGCAGCCGCGGUAAUACGUAGGUGGCAAGCGUUAUCCGGAAUUAUUGGGCGUAAAGCGCGCGUAGGCGGUUUUUUAAGUCUGAUGUGAAAGCCCACGGCUCAACCGUGGAGGGUCAUUGGAAACUGGAAAACUUGAGUGCAGAAGAGGAAAGUGGAAUUCCAUGUGUAGCGGUGAAAUGCGCAGAGAUAUGGAGGAACACCAGUGGCGAAGGCGACUUUCUGGUCUGUAACUGACGCUGAUGUGCGAAAGCGUGGGGAUCAAACAGGAUUAGAUACCCUGGUAGUCCACGCCGUAAACGAUGAGUGCUAAGUGUUAGGGGGUUUCCGCCCCUUAGUGCUGCAGCUAACGCAUUAAGCACUCCGCCUGGGGAGUACGACCGCAAGGUUGAAACUCAAAGGAAUUGACGGGGACCCGCACAAGCGGUGGAACAUGUGGUUUAAUUCGAAGCAACGCGAAGAACCUUACCAAAUCUUGACAUCCUUUGACAACUCUAGAGAUAGAGCUUUCCCCUUCGGGGGACAAAGUGACAGGUGGUGCAUGGUUGUCGUCAGCUCGUGUCGUGAGAUGUUGGGUUAAGUCCCGCAACGAGCGCAACCCUUAAGCUUAGUUGCCAUCAUUAAGUUGGGCACUCUAAGUUGACUGCCGGUGACAAACCGGAGGAAGGUGGGGAUGACGUCAAAUCAUCAUGCCCCUUAUGAUUUGGGCUACACACGUGCUACAAUGGACAAUACAAAGGGCAGCGAAACCGCGAGGUCAAGCAAAUCCCAUAAAGUUGUUCUCAGUUCGGAUUGUAGUCUGCAACUCGACUACAUGAAGCUGGAAUCGCUAGUAAUCGUAGAUCAGCAUGCUACGGUGAAUACGUUCCCGGGUCU
RNAcentral lists this ribosomal RNA (1372 nucleotides) under uncultured bacterium. RNAcentral describes it as "bacterial SSU rRNA". It matches the Rfam family "Bacterial small subunit ribosomal RNA", at positions 28 to 1381 of the family's 1533-position model. The record is from RNAcentral.